Molecule: ribosomal RNA, 419 nt
Filed under: uncultured microorganism
Description: bacterial SSU rRNA
Rfam family: Archaeal small subunit ribosomal RNA
Source: RNAcentral
GUGCAGCAGGCGAGAAACCUCCGCAAUGCACGCAAGUGUGACGGGGGGAUUCCAAGUGUUAUUGCAUUUUGUGUGAUAACUUUUCUUAAAUGUAAAUAGUUUGAGGAAUAAGGGCUGGGUAAGACGGGUGCCAGCCGCCGCGGUAAUACCCGCAGCUCAAGUGGUCUGGAGUUUUAUUGGGUCUAAAGCGUUCGUAGCUGGGUCUAUAAGUUCUCUGUGAAAUCUAACGGCUUAACCGUUAGGCGUGCAGAGGAUACUGUAGACCUCGAGACUGGGAUGGGUCAAGGGUACUCUCGGGGUAGGGGUGAAAUCCAAUAAUCCUGAGGGGACCACCUGUGGCGAAGGCGCUUGGCUAGAACAGGUCUGACAGUGAGGGGACGAAAGCUAGGGGAGCGAACGGGAUUAGAUACCCCGGUAGU